UUACCAGGUCUUGACAUCCCUGACAACCCGAGAGAUCGGGCCGUUCCCCGUUCGGGGGGACAGGGUGACAGGUGGUGCAUGGUUGUCGUCAGCUCGUGUCGUGAGAUGUUGGGUUAAGUCCCGCAACGAGCGCAACCCCUAUUGUUAGUUGCCAUCAUUCAGUUGGGCACUCUAGCGAGACUGCCGGUAAUAAACCGGAGGAAGGUGGGGAUGACGUCAAAUCAUCAUGCCCCUUAUGACCUGGGCUACACACGUGCUACAAUGGUUGGUACAACGAGUUGCGAGUCGGUGACGGCGAGCUAAUCUCUUAAAGCCAAUCUCAGUUCGGAUUGUAGGCUGCAACUCGCCUACAUGAAGUCGGAAUCGCUAGUAAUCGUGGAUCAGCAUGUCACGGUGAAUACGUUCCCGGGUCUU
Molecule: ribosomal RNA, 414 nt
Filed under: uncultured Streptococcus sp.
Lineage: Bacteria; Bacillati; Bacillota; Bacilli; Lactobacillales; Streptococcaceae
Description: bacterial SSU rRNA
Rfam family: Bacterial small subunit ribosomal RNA
Source: RNAcentral